This 576-nucleotide long non-coding RNA is filed under the name Coturnix japonica (Japanese quail). Its description in RNAcentral is "lncRNA (ENSCJPG00005005668.1)". The record is from RNAcentral. Lineage: Eukaryota; Metazoa; Chordata; Aves; Galliformes; Phasianidae.
AGCUGCUUGCGACUGUAAAGGCGGCAUAAGCUUAUUCCUUAUUUUUCAAAGUGCCAGUUUUCUUCAAGAAAAAAGAAAGUAGUUGAAUUAUUAGUUGCUUCAAGUCUGUGACUGUGCCACUUGUGCUCAUGAACUGGGGAAGAGGAAGAAGUGGCCAACCAGAGCCUGAAAAAAAUUCUCUGUUCUUCAGUCUCAGUGCAUGAGAAAGGAUUACAGCAGGCUCUAGCUGCCAAAAGCCACUCUUCUUGCAACAGAUGCAGCAAAGCUGGCAGUGGAUCUACUUUUCAGCUGCUACACUGAACUCCCCACCGUAGGUAUUUAUGCACUUAUUUAUGCACGUACCCCAAUGUCUUUAACAACUGAUAACAAAUAUCAGCACAGAUAAGAAGAAAUUUGAUAAAUGUAAUUCAUAUCCAAGUCACUGGGUGCAUACAAACUUCUAGGAUGUACAUAGGAUGAAACAAAUUACAACUGUUUAUAUAACAUAGAAAAGAUAUAUAUAUUUCUGUAUCAGUUUUUCAGCAAGUCCUGCCCACCUUCCUGGAAUGAUUUCCAAAGGCGGGAUCUUUGAUGCUA